Molecule: ribosomal RNA, 253 nt
Filed under: uncultured bacterium
Lineage: Bacteria
Description: partial 16S ribosomal RNA
Rfam family: Archaeal small subunit ribosomal RNA
Source: RNAcentral
UACCAGCACCCCGAGUGGUCGGGACGAUUAUUGGGCCUAAAGCAUCCGCAGCCGGUCCUACAAGUCUUCCGUUAAAUCCACCUGCUUAACAGAUGGGCUGCGGAAGAUACUAUAGGGCUAGGAGGCGGGAGAGGCAAGCGGUACUCAGUGGGUAGGGGUAAAAUCCUCUGAUCCAUUGAAGACCACCAGUGGCGAAGGCGGCUUGCCAGAACGCGCUCGACGGUGAGGGAUGAAAGCUGGGGGAGCAAACCGG